This 292-nucleotide ribosomal RNA is filed under the name uncultured eukaryote. RNAcentral describes it as "partial 18S ribosomal RNA". It matches the Rfam family "Eukaryotic small subunit ribosomal RNA", at positions 6 to 313 of the family's 1831-position model. The record is from RNAcentral.
GGUUGAUCCUGCCAGUAGUCAUACGCUUGUCUCAAAGAUUAAGCCAUGCAUGUCUAAGUAUAAGCAUCAUACCGUGAAACUGCGAAUGGCUCAUUAUAUCAGUUAUAGUUCAUUUGAUAGUCCCUACUACUUGGAUAACCGUAGUAAUUCUAGAGCUAAUACAUGCGCUAAGCCCUGACUCACGAAAGGGUGUAUAUAUUAGAUACAACCAACCCUUCGGGUUUUUGGUGAAUCAUAAUAUCUGAGCGAACCGCAUGCUUCGGCGGCGGUGGUUCAUUCAAGUUUCUGCCCU